This is a non-coding RNA of Phrynosoma platyrhinos (Desert horned lizard), 72 nucleotides long. The record is from the annotation of a GenBank genome assembly. Lineage: Eukaryota; Metazoa; Chordata; Lepidosauria; Squamata; Phrynosomatidae.
GCCAGUGUGGCACAGUGGUUUGAGUGCGGGACUACAACUCUGGAGACCAAGGUUGGAUUUCCAGCUCAGCCA